This 505-nucleotide ribosomal RNA is filed under the name uncultured bacterium. RNAcentral's name for it is "bacterial SSU rRNA". It matches the Rfam family "Bacterial small subunit ribosomal RNA", at positions 28 to 492 of the family's 1533-position model. The record is from RNAcentral.
GAUGAACGCUGGCGGCAUGCCUAAGACAUGCAAGUCGAACGAGGAGACCUUUGGAAAAUGGAGUGCUUGCACAAAGUUAGAAGAAGAUUAUCUCCUAGUGGCAGACGGGUGAGUAACACGUGGGUAACCUACCUUUAAGCUGGGGAUAACAGUUGGAAACGACUGCUAAUACCGAAUAAGAGGUACGUAAAAAUAUCAUUGAAAGGAGCCUUUAAAGCUUCACUUAAAGAUGGGCCUGCGGCGUAUUAACUAGUUGGUGAGGUAAUGGCUCACCAAGGUAACGAUGCGUAGCCGAACUGAGAGGUUGAACGGCCACACUGGGACUGAGACACGGCCCAGACUCCUACGGGAGACAGCAGUUAGGAAUAUUCGUCAAUGGGGGAAACCCUGAACGAGCAAUGCCGCGUGAGUGAUGAAGGUCCUCUGGAUUGUAAAACUCUGUUGUAUGGAAAAAAUGACUAUAUUAGGAAAUGAAUAUAGAGUGAUGGUACCAUACGAGAAAGCU